GACGAACGCUGGCGGCGUGCUUAACACAUGCAAGUCGAACGGAAAGGCCCUGCUUUUGUGGGGUGCUCGAGUGGCGAACGGGUGAGUAACACGUGAGUAACCUGCCCUUGACUUUGGGAUAACUUCAGGAAACUGGGGCUAAUACCGGAUAGGAGCUCCUGCUGCAUGGUGGGGGUUGGAAAGUUUCGGCGGUUGGGGAUGGACUCGGGGCUUAUCAGCUUGUUGGUGGGGUAGUGGCUUACCAAGGCUUUGAUGGGUAGCCGGCCUGAGGGGGUGACCGGCCACAUUGGGACUGAAAUACGGCCCGGACUCCUACGGGAGGCAGCAGUGGGGAAUAUUGCACAAGGGGCGGAAGCCUGAUGCAGCAACGCCGCGUGCGGGAUGACGGCUUUCGGGUUGUAAACCGCUUUCGCCUGUGACGAAGCGUGAGUGACGGUAAUGGGUAAAGAAGCACCGGCUAACUACGUG
RNAcentral lists this ribosomal RNA (468 nucleotides) under uncultured bacterium. RNAcentral's name for it is "partial 16S ribosomal RNA". It matches the Rfam family "Bacterial small subunit ribosomal RNA", at positions 28 to 507 of the family's 1533-position model. The record is from RNAcentral.